Molecule: ribosomal RNA, 1007 nt
Filed under: uncultured organism
Description: bacterial SSU rRNA
Rfam family: Bacterial small subunit ribosomal RNA
Source: RNAcentral
GGGUGAGUAACACGUGAGUAAUCUGCCCCCGGCUCGGGCAUAGCCCCGGGAAACCGGGAUUAAUACCGGACGGUGCUGUGCGGCCGCAUGGCUGCGCAGUCAAAGAUUGAGUUCGGCCGGGGAUGAGCUCGCGUCCCAUUAGCUUGUCGGUGAGGUAACGGCUCACCGAGGCGAAGACGGGUAGCUGGUCUGAGAGGAUGGUCAGCCACACUGGGACUGAGACACUGCCCAGACUCCUACGGGAGGCUGCAGUCGAGAAUCUUCCGCAAUGGGCGCAAGCCUGACGGAGCGAUGCCGCGUGAGGGAUGACGGCCUUCGGGUUGUAAACCUCUGUCAGAGGGGACGAAGCAUGUGACGGUACCCUCAGAGGAAGCCACGGCUAACUACGUGCCAGCAGCCGCGGUAACACGUAGGUGGCGAGCGUUAUUCGGAUUUACUGGGCGUAAAGGGUCCGCAGGGUGUCUGUCAAGUCUGGUGUGAAACUCCGCAGCUCAACUGCGGACGUGCACUGGAAACUGGCGGACUAGAGUCCACGAUGGGAGAACGGAAUUCCUGGUGUAGCGGUGGAAUGCGUAGAUAUCAGGAAGAACACCGGCGGCGAAGGCGGUUCUCUGGCGUGGUACUGACCCUCAAGGACGAAAGCGUGGGUAGCGAACAGGAUUAGAUACCCUGGUAGUCCACGCAGUAAUCGUUGUGCACUAGAUGUGGGGAGUACGUUAGGUCCUCUCAGUGUCCAAGUUAACUCGAUAAGUGCUCUGCGUGGGGACUACGGCCGCAAGGCUAUAACUCAAAGGAAUUGUCGGGGGCCCGCACAAGCGGUGGAGCAUGUGGCUUAAUUUGAGGCAACGCGUAGUACCUUACCCGGAUCUGUCAUAUGUCCGACCGCCCCGGAGACGGGGUUUUCUCUUCGGAGACGGACAUACAGGUGCUGCAUGGCUGUCGUCAGCUCGUGCCGUGAGGUGUUCGGUUAAUGUCCGGCAACGAGCGCAACUCGUGUCGUCAGUUGC